Long non-coding RNA from Helianthus annuus (common sunflower), 526 nucleotides. RefSeq lists it as uncharacterized. The record is from RefSeq and is a predicted model, not a curated record. NCBI's taxonomy places the organism in Eukaryota, Viridiplantae, Streptophyta, Magnoliopsida, Asterales, Asteraceae. The transcript has 2 exons.
AGAUUUGUUAAAUUGGUAUAAUUUAAUUUUGACUUCCUGUACUACUUGUAUACCCCCUCAAUCCUAAAAAACACACAUUCCAGCCCACGGUCGCACCCUUAAACUCGCCGACGUUCUUGUUCCAGCCGCCGGCCAACCUUCUAGUUCCGUCCGGCGACCAACAUCUCAUUCCAGCCAACCUCAAUCGGACAACGUCUUCACCGCCACUGCUGUUUCAUCAGGUUCGAAUCUCUAAAAUGCAUGUGCUUUGAAGCAUUUGAUUAGAAAAGAUGGCAAUGAAGGUUCUUGAAAUGAUGAAGAUCAAGAAAAAGCGGUGCUGUUUAUAAACAUUAUAUUCUAUGUUGCAUUCAUAAGAAGUUGUGUUCUUGAUGGCAUGAAGUAGUGUUGUUUUCUUCAUUUAGAUAUAGAAGUUGUAUUCCAAUAAUUGUAGAAUUUUAUGAUAUUUUAUUGCGUUGUAUAUAUCUUAUAAUUUUUAUCAAAUUGUAGAAACUCAGGUUUUAUUUGUGAUUGUAAAUCUUUAUGUGAA